This 82-nucleotide transfer RNA is filed under the name Salmo salar (Atlantic salmon). It matches the Rfam family "tRNA". Rfam says of the family: Transfer RNA (tRNA) molecules are approximately 80 nucleotides in length. Their secondary structure includes four short double-helical elements and three loops (D, anti-codon, and T loops). Lineage: Eukaryota; Metazoa; Chordata; Actinopteri; Salmoniformes; Salmonidae. The record is from Rfam by way of RNAcentral.
GCUGUGAUGGCCGAGUGGUUAAGGUGUUGGAUUUGAAAUCCAAUGGGGUCUCCCUGCGCAGGUUCGAACCCUGCUCGCAGUG